RNAcentral lists this ribosomal RNA (468 nucleotides) under uncultured bacterium. Its description in RNAcentral is "partial 16S ribosomal RNA". It matches the Rfam family "Bacterial small subunit ribosomal RNA", at positions 28 to 507 of the family's 1533-position model. The record is from RNAcentral.
GACGAACGCUGGCGGCGUGCUUAACACAUGCAAGUCGAACGGAAAGGCCCUGCUUUUGUGGGGUGCUCGAGUGGCGAACGGGUGAGUAACACGUGAGUAACCUGCCCUUGACUUUGGGAUAACUUCAGGAAACUGGGGCUAAUACCGGAUAGGAGCUCCUGCUGCAUGGUGGGGGUUGGAAAGUUUCGGCGGUUGGGGAUGGACUCGCGGCUUAUCAGCUUGUUGGUGGGGUAGUGGCUUACCAAGGCUUUGACGGGUAGCCGGCCUGAGAGGGUGACCGGCCACAUUGGGACUGAGAUACGGCCCAGACUCCUACGGGAGGCAGCAGUGGGGAAUAUUGCACAAUGGGCGGAAGCCUGAUGCAGCAACGCCGCGUGCGGGAUGACGGCCUUCAGGUUGUAAACCGCUUUCGCCUGUGACGAAGCGUGAGUGACAGUAAUGGGUAAAGAAGCACCGGCUAACUACGUG